Molecule: long non-coding RNA, 472 nt
Organism: Mangifera indica (mango)
Lineage: Eukaryota; Viridiplantae; Streptophyta; Magnoliopsida; Sapindales; Anacardiaceae
Exons: 3
Source: RefSeq, a predicted model, not a curated record
CAGAUAGUUGGCUUCUCUUAAGUGGUUGCAAAGAUUCCACAUUGAAGGUUCGGGAUAUCCAGACAGGGAAGCUGAAAAAAGACCUCCCGGGCCAUGCAGAUGAGAUGGUGAGAAAGUUGCCUCUGGUGGUCAGGACAGAGUAUUGAAGUUAUGGAUGGGCUAAAUUAAUUAAAGUAGACUAAAGGGCAUGCAAUUACAUUCUUAAAAUGAGGUUAUUUGGCAAUUAUUCAUCAACACCAAUCAUUUGGGUUCGGCCUGCCUUUAUCUUUAUGCUCUAGGUGAUAUGCUAAGGUGCCAAGAACAAUAGAAUUAAAAUAUCAAUUGCUUGGGUGGUUGGUGGAAAAUGUUCCAUUACAUCAGAUUUGUGAGUGUUUCCGCGGUUUAUGUUAUUUCGUGGAUGAGCAAUUCAGAUUCUAACCUUUCGGUCACAAUGCUCUGUUUGCAGAACAUAUAUCUGGUUGUUUUGUUUGUG